Molecule: ribosomal RNA, 495 nt
Filed under: uncultured bacterium
Lineage: Bacteria
Description: partial 16S ribosomal RNA
Rfam family: Bacterial small subunit ribosomal RNA
Source: RNAcentral
GAUGAACGCUGGCGGCGUGCCUAAUACAUGCAAGUCGAGCGAACAGACGAGGAGCUUGCUCCUCUGACGUUAGCGGCGGACGGGUGAGUAACACGUGGAUAACCUACCUAUAAGACUGGGAUAACUUCGGGAAACCGGAGCUAAUACCGGAUAACAUGUUGAACCGCAUGGUUCAACAGUGAAAGACGGUCUUGCUGUCACUUAUAGAUGGAUCCGCGCCGCAUUAGCUAGUUGGUAAGGUAACGGCUUACCAAGGCAACGAUGCGUAGCCGACCUGAGGGUGAUCGGCCACACUGGAACUGAGACACGGUCCAGACUCCUACGGGAGGCAGCAGUAGGGAAUCUUCCGCAAUGGGCGAAAGCCUGACGGAGCAACGCCGCGUGAGUGAAGAAGGUCUUCGGAUCGUAAAACUCUGUUAUUAGGGAAGAACAAAUGUGUAAGUAACUAUGCACGUCUUGACGGUACCUAAUCAGAAAGCCACGGCUAACUACGUG